AACGAACGCUGGCGGCAGGCUUAACACAUGCAAGUCGAACGCACCGCAAGGUGAGUGGCAGACGGGUGAGUAACGCGUGGGAACUUACCCCUUGGUACGGGAUAGCUCCGGGAAGCUGGAGAUAAUACCGUAUGUGACCUGAGGGUCAAAGAUUCAUCGCCAAGGGAUGGGCCCGCGUCGGAUUAGCUAGUUGGUGGGGUAACGGCCUACCAAGGCGACGAUCCGUAGCUGGUCUAAGAGGAUGAUCAGCCACAUUGGGACUGAGACACGGCCCAAACUCCUACGGGGGGCAGCAGUGGGGAAUAUUGGACAAUGGGCGCAAGCCUGAUCCAGCCAUGCCGCGUGAGUGAUGAAGGCCCUAGGGUUGUAAAGCUCUUUCACCGGGGACGAUAAUGACGGUACCCGGAGAAGAAGCCCCGGCUAACUUCGUGCCAGCAGCCGCCGUAA
RNAcentral lists this ribosomal RNA (447 nucleotides) under uncultured bacterium. Its description in RNAcentral is "partial 16S ribosomal RNA". It matches the Rfam family "Bacterial small subunit ribosomal RNA", at positions 29 to 523 of the family's 1533-position model. The record is from RNAcentral.